AUCCCUUUAUUAUGUGACCCCAUAGGUUCAAUUCUAUCUGGUAGUGAGAUAUACAAUGAUCUCUAUCAUAGUAUUAUUGAAACUCUUUUCAAUAGAUCGAAAUAAUUCCACUCUAAUUCAUCAGGGAUUGUCGAUCCUCAACAAUCCUAGUGAGCUCUCACAAUCCAUCAGUGAUACUUACCAGUAUGUAAUGACAAUCCAGUAAAAUCAAAAUAGAACCUCAAGGUGUAGUUCACAUGUGAUUCUAUCCCUCUAUCGUAAGUCCCGACUAGAUAACAUAUCAUGGAUAAAUUAUCAAAUCUCAUCAUCAGUCGUAUGAUAGAUUCGAUUAGUUCAAAUCCAAUUAUGAUCCUUAUGAAAAUUUUUUUUCUUCGAUCAUACUGCUGUGGCCACAGACUCUUAGACUUAGCCUCUCAAAUCUUAUAGGACUACUCCUCUCUAUCAAGAUCAAUAGAUUCCAUCUGGAUGCGUAUCCUACUCCUAUAGUAGACCAACUAUCGUCAAUAUUCACUACAAGGACUCAACGAGCUCAUAUUUAUGUGUCAGUCAAACUCCAGUAACUUCACUGUGAGUAAUCAAACCAUCACAAGUCAAAGGAUCAUUCACACAACAACAGCAUCGAGACAAUCACUAAUGAUCG
Molecule: long non-coding RNA, 640 nt
Filed under: Elaeis guineensis (African oil palm)
Lineage: Eukaryota; Viridiplantae; Streptophyta; Magnoliopsida; Arecales; Arecaceae
Description: long non-coding RNA (EGUI_LNC031768)
Source: RNAcentral